RNAcentral lists this ribosomal RNA (465 nucleotides) under uncultured bacterium. RNAcentral describes it as "partial 16S ribosomal RNA". It matches the Rfam family "Bacterial small subunit ribosomal RNA", at positions 28 to 507 of the family's 1533-position model. The record is from RNAcentral.
GACGAACGCUGGCGGCGUGCUUAACACAUGCAAGUCGAACGGAAAGGCCCCUUUGGGGGUACUCGAGUGGCGAACGGGUGAGUAACACGUGAGUAACCUGCCCUUGACUUCGGGAUAACUUCAGGAAACUGGGGCUAAUACCGGAUAGGAAUCCUUGCUGCAUGGUGGGGGUUGGAAAGCUUCGGCGGUUUUGGAUGGACUCGCGGCAUAUCAGCUUGUUGGUGGGGUAGUGGCUUACCAAGGCUUUUACGGGUAGCCGGCCUGAGAGGGCGACCGGCCACAUUGGGACUGAGAGACGGCACAGACUCCUACGGGAGGCAGCAGUGGGGAAUAUUGCACAAUGGGCGGAAGCCUGAUGCAGCAACGCCGCGGGCGGGAUGACGGCCUUCGGGUUGUAAACCGCUUUCAGCAGGGGCGAAGCUUGUGGUGACGGUACCUGCAGAAGAAGCACCGGCUAACUACGUG